This 214-nucleotide long non-coding RNA is filed under the name Hordeum vulgare. RNAcentral's name for it is "long non-coding RNA (HVUL_LNC000260)". Lineage: Eukaryota; Viridiplantae; Streptophyta; Magnoliopsida; Poales; Poaceae. The record is from RNAcentral.
UUGUGUGCAUUGUGAGAGGUGUUGGGUUCGAUUCUCCACCAUGCUCCUUUAUUUUUCUCUGUGUGUGUUGUGCAGUGUGUGCGAGUGACAGUGGGCUCAGGACCCACAUGUCAUGCACUAGGGACCCUGGUAUCUAUGACAGUGGGCCCGUGUCUGUUUAGACCCACAUGUCAUGCACUAGGGACCCUGGUAUCUAUGACAGUGGGCCCGUGUC